Molecule: ribosomal RNA, 434 nt
Filed under: Capnocytophaga gingivalis
Lineage: Bacteria; Pseudomonadati; Bacteroidota; Flavobacteriia; Flavobacteriales; Flavobacteriaceae
Description: bacterial SSU rRNA
Rfam family: Bacterial small subunit ribosomal RNA
Source: RNAcentral
GAUGAACGCUAGCGGCAGGCCUAACACAUGCAAGUCGAGGGAGAAGCCCUUCGGGGCAGAAACCGGCGCACGGGUGCGUAACGCGUAUGCAACCUACCUUUCACAGGGGGAUAGCCCGAAGAAAUUUGGAUUAAUACCCCAUAAUAUUGUUGGAUGGCAUCAUUUGACAAUUAAAACUACGGUGGUGAGAGAUGGGCAUGCGUCCUAUUAGCUAGUUGGAGUGGUAACGGCACCCCAAGGCUACGAUAGGUAGGGGUCCUGAGAGGGAGAUCCCCCACACUGGUACUGAGACAGGGACCAGACUCCUACGGGAGGCAGCAGUGAGGAAUAUUGGUCAAUGGUCGGAAGACUGAACCAGCCAUGCCGCGUGCAGGAAGAAUGCCUUAUGGGUUGUAAACUGCUUUUAUAUGGGAAGAAUAAGGUGUACGAGUACA